AAGUCGUAACAAGGUUUCCGUAGCCCCCGUGAACCUUCAUCCUGCUCUUGUAACCCGCGUAGUUCGCAAUCUCUGAUAAAUCAUAGCCCGGAAAGUUGUAGUGAUUCAGAGACCUCUGGCUACGUGCGAACAUUGGACCAGUUACAAUCGAGCGGUAGUUCUAUAGGCAAUGUUUCCCCAAGCCGUCAGUGUCGGAAAGUGUCAUUGAUUGUGCAAGGAUAGCGCUUCUACGAUUUCUGUAGACCGUACACUCGGGCAGGAGCUUUGCCCCUAAUAACCCCACAGUUUAAUGUGAAGCUCAAUGUAAUACAUUGGGUAAAAAAACCGAACGACUGUUAACAAUGGAUAUCUUGGUUCUC
This 359-nucleotide unclassified non-coding RNA is filed under the name fungal sp. RNAcentral's name for it is "partial internal transcribed spacer region". Lineage: Eukaryota; Fungi. The record is from RNAcentral.